Molecule: ribosomal RNA, 426 nt
Filed under: uncultured bacterium
Lineage: Bacteria
Description: bacterial SSU rRNA
Rfam family: Bacterial small subunit ribosomal RNA
Source: RNAcentral
GUGAGGAAUUUUCCGCAAUGGGCGAAAGCCUGACGGAGCAAUGCCGCGUGAAGGAUGAAGGCCUAUGGGUUGUAAACUUCUUUUCUCAGAAAAGAAUUAUGACGGUAUCUGAGGAAUAAACAUCGGCUAACUCUGUGCCAGCAGCCGCGGUAAGACAGAGGAUGCAAGCGUUAUCCGGAAUGAUUGGGCGUAAAGCGUCUGUAGGUUGUUUAAAAAGUAUUCUGUCAAAGAUUAGGGCUUAACCCUAGAUAGGCAGAAUAAACUUUUAAGCUAGAGUUUGGUAGAGGCAGAGGGAAUUCCCGGUGGAGCGGUGAAAUGCGUAGAUAUCGGGAGGAACACCAAAGGCGAAGGCACUCUGCUGGGCCAAUACUAACACUGAGAGACGAAAGCGAGGGGAGCAAAUGGGAUUAGAUACCCGUGUAGUCC